Molecule: long non-coding RNA, 584 nt
Organism: Lutra lutra (Eurasian river otter)
Lineage: Eukaryota; Metazoa; Chordata; Mammalia; Carnivora; Mustelidae
Exons: 2
Source: RefSeq, a predicted model, not a curated record
UAAAGGCUCUGGCCUCAGCUCGUGAUCCUAGCAGGUGAUUUGAGAAUGUUAUGACUGAGGAAGGCCACAUGGUGCCUUUGGUCUGUAUGUGCAGUUCCUUCCAUCUGCAGGUCUCCUAUUUGGCACAGUCGCCAACUGGGCACACACUAGGGAGUGUGGCAGCAAGAAGCCCAGGUCUGAGCCGGGCUACUUAUGUGCACCUGGCAAUGUGGGGGAGCAGCAAGGACUGCAUCAUUUAGGACCAGCCAAGAGGCCACUUACAGCAGCUCAAAGCUCUCAGCACCCCAUUUAAGAGGGAUGAGCCCAUACUGAGGACACGGAGCAGGCCAGCCACACUUGCUGCAUGUCACACGCUGAUUCAUCUUCCCUCACAGCACCAGGCAAGCUGCCUCUGGAGAGCCCUGGGGAGGCCGGCCGGCAGCUCUCAGACCAGGAGGCUCCUUACUCUUUGAUGUGUCAGAUCCAACUGAGCCCUCAGAAGAGAGGACAGUAGUUUGGACUGAUGGUUCCUUUGGGGAUUAAAAAAAACAAAACAAAACAAAAAACCCCCUCAGAUAUUAAUAGAAUAACAUUUUAUGUCAUAA